This is a long non-coding RNA of Cyprinus carpio carpio, 4627 nucleotides long. Lineage: Eukaryota; Metazoa; Chordata; Actinopteri; Cypriniformes; Cyprinidae. The record is from Ensembl.
GGACACUGUCCGUCUUUCACCUAUUUAGCCCGAGCCAUUUUCAUUAGCGCGAGGCUGUCUGCUAGCACAACAGGGACGGUUGUAAUCAGCAGCCAUAAACUGUGAAGUGGGAGAACCUAAACGUGACGUCAAUGCCUAGUAACUGACGCAGCCCUUUAAAAAAAAGAGAGAUAGAGAGAGAGAGAGAUUCUGCAAGCAUUAAUUAUCGUCGUUUGUGUACUGCUCUAAAGACAAAACAUAUUCCGCUCGCAGUGCGAUUGAUUACGAUUGUUUGCGCGCGCGGCUCCGUCUGUGUGUGUCUCUGUGUGAGUGUGUGCGUGCGUGCGUAUGUUUUUUAUGAGCAGCGAAUCCGUCCCGAGUUUCCAAGCUAAAGUUGCAUGGAGACACGCCGCGUAAGACGCGUAUAAUAAAGAGGAUGGUGAGCAACAUAAAGGAGCGAGGAGAGCGAGAACAACUUGUGCUGAGAAAGCGAACCUUUAAGAAAUAUUUAGCCCAUAAGAGAGAGGGUCACUGAAGCAGUUCGUUUGAAAAAAAAAAAAAAGAAGAAAUUCACUGCAGCGAUGCAUCGGAGGCGAGUCAGAUGGAGUUGGCGAGGCAAAAUUAAUGUACAUUACAUGCACUCCACGUAACGCUCCUGAGCGAUGUCUUUGUGAGUGUUUUUUUUUUUCUUACUGGGCGCUAAAAAUAGCAUCAGUGUUUGAUCUUGGUCCAGAAAUAGGCAGAGGGUAUCACUUGUAUAAAAAGGACUGCGAUUCUGAGAAAACUUGGACAUGUUGCUAAGGAUAGAUAUGAAUCAAGGGCAGUAUUUGAUUUUCAUCUUGCUUGUUGUUUUUGUCACGUAUGAUGGUUUUAUACUCAUGUCUGUGUUUUCCCUGCUUUCAGCCUAGGGCUUCCUGCACUGGUAAGUACACAUUCGCGAUGAUUUCUUUGGUUUGAUGACAUGUGUAUUUGAUUUUUUUUGCACGAUUUCUUGCAUGCAUUGAAUAACGUGCCAUUCCCUCCACCGAACACCAUCCAUUUGUUUCACGCAUACUGUGUGCACUUCUCAAACAGGUGCUUUGUUUUCAUACAUUUGUUUAAAAUGAAAUAAACCACACUCUUUCCAGACCAGGAAUCUCGCGAAUGGUAAAUAAGUGAAAUCCACAUCCAAACUCCUUUGUCUGACGGCGCUGUUGAGUCGUUUUUUGCCUCUUCGCUACAGCUGAGAGUGUGAAUGGAAACCGAUAACACUAGAAGAGUGAGGGGACAUAUCUCUCAAAAUAUGUGAAGAGGAAAAUGGGCUAAUAAAUAUAGGUGGAAGACGCCGCGCCAAAAGGAAAAUCACCAGCAACAGCCGACGAGGGAAGCCCUGGUGUGGCGUCAAGGGGUUCCGUGCAUCCAAAAUCGCCCUUAAAUGGUCAGCCCUGUUUUGGCCAUUACCCUUGAAAGGGAUGCCACUCGGCACACGUUCUCAUAAUAAGCUUAAGGGUUUUUUGUUUGUUUGUUUUUGUUUGUUUGUUUUUUUGUGCAGUGUUCCCGCGUGCGUUGUUUGAACACUUCCAUCAGAUCGAGACUGCACGAGACUGUGUAGCUAUAGGCGGAUUCACAUGGAUUACUCUUCCGCCCACGUCAUUUUCAUUAUACAGUACUGCAAUCGACAGUUUUCUAUUGCAGUGGACUAUAAUAUUGGUCUUGUGCCAAAACUAACGCGUUUGUGCAGUUGCGCAAAACAAUCACGUUGUGAUCGCCAGUGUUGUUUUAAUCAAAGCAUCUCUUAAUAAACGUCUAACUUCAAUCCUGCAGCGUGCGCGAGUGCCUUAAGCGUUAGCAGACAGUAUUUUUCGAAUUGUUUCAGAGGGAUUAAAUGGUCAUGUAUAUGUAUUCAACAUCAAAAAUUGCAUGUGAGUUCGCUUAAAUACUUAAAACCGUACAUGUCAGAGUAGAGAGUCCAGGAAUGACCGCUGAUCUUUGCAGAAACAAAACUCAUUACCUUGACCUUUUCAAAGACACUGUGGCUCUCUAUACACCUUUCCCAGACAUAGCAAGAUCUUCUUAAGUCAAUGCUGGCGUUGUAAUUUUUGUCGAAACACGGUUUUAUCCGAGUCGUGACUGCUAUAGUGAGUAAUAUGUGCGCGUUGGCUGCGUCAGGAGAUGCAGUCGCUGUGCGGUGCAGACAGAAGGGGAGAAUCGUGACUGACUGGAGACGUCCGCAAAUGAUGCGACCACCAAAUAAAAUCCUCAUAAUGGUGGCAUCUGGGGUUGAAUUUAUUUUUGUUUUUAGAUUUUUACACCUGUUACAUCUCAAGCCAUAUCUCUUUUGCCUAGCCACCUCAACCUCCCCUUGCACCACGAAGGCGCAAGAAGAAUAUCAGUGAUUGAGGGGAAGGGAGGGGGGAGAUCUUUGGAUCGGGAUGAAUUUAGACUGGGGGGAGGGAGGGGGUCCAGAUAUAGACAGUGACCCUCCCACUUCGUAUAGUUCCUUGCAUAGUUCCAAGAAGAGCCACUCUUUAACAAUUUUGACAAAUGAUCGCAUGGAUCCAAGAAAAGAACUUCACGGGGCAGGACAGAACUUGAGGCAUCCACCGUGUCAAGUACAGAGGGUGAAUGAACGCUCGACUCACAGAACGAUCCCAGACGGUGUUGCUCGUGACAAAAUCUGCUGAUGAUUGGAGGUCUAUGGAAAAGUGAGAUGUGAAGCGAACUGGCUGUAUUCCUCAUGGAAGCAGAGGAAAGGCUGACAGGCAUGGAAGAUGAUGGAAGAAAAAGGAGGGGUUUACCAAUAAAUAAGGAUACAAAUAUGGGAAAACGUUACCUUGUAUCCUGCACACAAGAUCAACGUCGAACCAACGUCUGUUAGACUGCUGUACACCUGUAAAUGGAUAUUAAGCAAGUUGAUUACUUUGUAGGAACAACAUAACAUCGUCAGGUAUUUGCAAUAUCUGUCUGUAAACUACCUGGGUUUAAUAAAUGAGCCGGACUUGCUUACGUGUCACGUGCACACGUGAGACUCAUGAGCUGCGAGACGUAAGGAAAUAUGACAAUGAUGUAGUACGUAUUUGAGCUUAAAAAAUGUUUACUUGCACAUAAAACCAUGUAUAGAUACAUUUGUUGUAAUUAUUUACCUUAAUUAGUGAAAUUGUGUAGACGAGAUGCACAUGAACGCUUGUGUUGAGUCGUGUUGCUUUAGUUCUCAAAGACAUGAAGGCAAACACAUACUGAUUUAAUCUUAUUUGUUCUAAUUAAAUCAUAGCCUAUAUGUAGCUUCAAAUGGAUUUGUUGUGACUGUGAUAAUAAGAACUUGUGCGUAACGCGAGCGUCUGCAGACUUGUGUGAAAAUUACAGGCGCGAGUUUUAGCUUGUGGUGCUUUAUAAUUGUUAGGGUUACAUAUUCGUGAGAUCUUAAUAGCUUGUUUAACAUGUUGAAUGGAGCUGCAGACGGAGAGUUGGAGCUGUCAGGCGUUUUCUGUGCACGCUCUGCUGCUGCUGACGUAUCACUCCCACGGCCCAAGUGAGUUUAGGACUCAAAUAAUGCUGUGUUCUAUUAGUUCUUUAGCUAAAUAUGUUUAUUAUAUCGUAUAUGUGUAAUAAGGUUUCAUAACUAGUGUUUAGGGAGCAUUUUGAACACAGUAAAUGUGAAAUAUGACUUGUUGGGACUGGGAGUUAUCAAAGGGUCAAAUGGGUUGGGUCCUGCGGGGGGGCGGGGGGGGGGGGUAUGAUGUCGAAAUUAUAUGUUUUAAAGUUUGUCUAAGCAAAAGAUAAUUAAGUAAAAUAUCUAUAUUUUGCAUCAGUUAUUAUUUUGUAGUAUAUAAAUUACAAAAAAAUAAAUAUAAUAACUGAUAAUGCACUAUGUAGCCUAGCUAUCGGAUUGCUUGUGCCUUACGUAACUUUUAUUUUUAUUGCUUCAUAAUUAUAGUAUUUUCUGCUUUGCUGUUACUGUAUAUCAUACAACCCAAAACGUGCUUAACAGUUUGAGCUGAACUGAGUAAUUUGAGUAAAGUGUGGUUGCUGCAGUGUGCACGACGUGAGAGCGUAACGUGCGAGUUCUGCAUUUCUGAGUAUUUGAAUGACAUUUCUGUAUAGUGCACAGAGAAAAAUAUGCUGCAUUAACUAUUCGACCCUGACUAAUUGUUUAGCUAUUUCAUUACAUGAAACAAGAUGUGCAUGUGGUGUGAGAAAUAUGUGAUUUGAUUAUGUUGCAAAAUCUAAAAGCUGGAAGUUUGUCGUUCAGGUGACAAAGAAAAAAAAAAUGACUCACGUAUUUUGUAAUCAAACUGCUGGCUUUCUGUAUUCUCUAUUACAUGUCAGAGAAAAUAAAAUGUUUGGAGUUAUUUUAGAGUCUGCUUGCUUAUUUGUAUGUUUUUAAGUGUGGGGGGAUCUGGAAAAUGAACACUAUGGCUACUAUAUGUGACGUGCUGAAAACACUUGUGUGUGUUUAGAGCCUGUAGGAUAUAUAAAAUAAAAAAGUCAAAUGUAGCGCGAGGGAGGCAAUGCAUAGAAAGAAAGGUUUCCACAGCCAGAGUAGCCUAUCUUACAAUUAAAAUUACAGACAUUAAAAUGUUUUUCUUGACGACGCCAAUGCUUUUUUCUACUAAACAGCAUGUGGUUUACAUGUUACGUGUGUUACUUGAAUUAUUCACGCAUCGGUGGG